Molecule: non-coding RNA, 2447 nt
Organism: Delphinapterus leucas (beluga whale)
Lineage: Eukaryota; Metazoa; Chordata; Mammalia; Artiodactyla; Monodontidae
Source: RefSeq, a predicted model, not a curated record
CCUGCAGCAGGAGCUCAGUACCACUCGGCAAUCCCAUCCGCCACACGCAACGUGGCAGCGACCGAGCCCCGCGCCCGACUUCCGUUUCCGGUGCUGAGCCGGUACCAUUGACUCUCCGGUUGCCCGGGAGACCCUCGGAAGCUAACAAUGCGAGGGGUCUGUUCCCUUUCUCUUCUAUUCUCGCCUAAGCUCCAGCUCUGCCUGACCCAGCGGCCAGCAGCCUGUCGGGUACAGCAGAAGCUCCCAAGUAGCUGAGAAGUUCGUGGAAUCUUCCUAUUGAUAAGGAUCCUGAGGUUUAAGGAAGCAAGUUGCUCAAAGGCACGUGGCAGAACUGUGACCCGAACCCAGACCUGUCUAACUCAAAAGUGUGCUAUUUCCACGACACCAAGCUUGCUCCCCUCCUAUGGGCCAAGCGCUGUAGUCAACGCUGAGGAUACUGAAGCGUUAAGACUCGUGUUCAGGAAGAGCUCGUACUCCAGCAGAGGAGGCCUUCGGAAGAAGCGCAGAAGGCCCGGGGAAGGACCGUUACUGAUUUUCCCUUCCCCCAAUCAGAAACUUUUUGAAAAGCCUCUGAGGAGAGUCAGGACGCCUGAAAGGAGCACAUCGAGGCAGCAUCGCAUGGCAGUUUGGCGCGGGGACUCUGGGAGUUGGCAGGUGCCUGACACCCUGCGUGAGAACCCCCUGCUCCGGCUGAGCCUGCCUUGUCUCCAUCAGGUAGGCACCCCACGGCCUCUCUGAGCGCUCAAUGGAUUAGAUCCUUGAUAAGGAUGCAAAUGCCCCAGAAAGGAUGCUCCAUUCAAUGCAUAGUCAGUGCUUGACAGAGCCAUGGAACAGAGAGCUCCUCUCUUCCAUCCACCCACGCGUUCUACAGAUGGACCCUGAGGCCCAGUGGCUUAGCCAAAGCCACACAGUGAAUGAGUUUCAGAGCCAAGUCUCACACCUAGGUCUUCUAGCUUAGAAUUCAGUGCUUAUCCAUUAGACCAAUGGACUGCAUUGCCCUCAAUGGUGAUGGCAGCCACUGGCCAGGGUGGUGGCGGGGGCACCUGAACUCAGUCUCCACGUGGGCGGUGGACCUGUGUGAUUCACCAAAGGGACGGCCUGAUGAGGGAGAAGGACUGAGUUAGGCCCUGGGGCAGGGCUGUGGUGGGCAGGAUCUGGGGGGUGGGGGAGACGGGGUUGGAGACUGAAAUCUAGGGAGAUUGUCAUGGAAAUCAGCAAUUGUAAGGCAGGUGAAAAUGCAGCUGUAUACUAGCCCGGCAAUGUGCUACAGAACGCAGCAAUUAACUUCUCUACUCAUGGGAGAUGGGGUCCAGGAGGGCUUUGGGGAAGAAGCGGCCUGUGACUUGGGUCUGAAGAAGCAGGAGGAGGAUGUUCAGGGGCUGUCGGGGGCCAGGCGUUCUGCAUUGAGGGAGCAGCAUGGACAGAGGCAGGGAGGCCGGACAGCCUGGGCUGUACGUGGGGAAUAGCACAGCGGGCAGCAAGGGAACCUGGAGAAAAGCAGAGGAACCUGAAUUGAAGUUCUAACUCUGCAGCUAGUCUGACCAGCUCAGGAUCUGGACAAGUCACUUUAUCUUUCUGGAUCUUAGUUUCCUUAUAUGUGAAACUGGCAUAACGAUAUUAUCUGUCUCCUGAGCGUUAUAGUGAGGAUGAACCAAAACAGUAAGGCACCAAAUAUAGGGCCUGGCACAUAGUAGGUGCUCAACAAAAGGCCCAGUAUGGCCGGAGGGUAGGUCCUGUUGGAACACAGGGACAAGCAGGGGUUUGGGCGAUGCUGUAUGUUUUCUUUUGCCUUCCGAUGGGCCCUUUCCCCUCCUUCCAGGGGCUCCCUAGCUGGCCUGGGAGGGCUGCUUACCCACUUAGAGUUGCCAGGAUGUUUGGCCAUCCUCGGGUCCAGAACGAUCUUCUGGUUCCGUCAUCAUCCUUAAGCUCUUUCCAGCCUGAACACAACUGGGGCUAGCGUUCCAGGUCUGGUCAUGUUUGCUGGCAGAGCCCGUGUUUGGGAGCGACAGCUCUGUUUAGGUAGAAACAGACACUGAAAACAGCUGCUGGUUCUCUGCCUUGGUAAACACGGAGUAAACCCUGCCACUCCGGGCUUUGCAAGGGAUCAGGGAGCACAAGGCAGGCCCUACUCACAGGCGUCCUGUGGGGUAGGGAAAAGCCAUCUUUUCAGCAAGUGUGCCAGCCUCCUCAGGCUGGGGCCAGGUUUAGGGGUGGCGGUGGGAGGAGUUAGAGGCUCUUCCUCCCCUCUUGGCCUCUGGGUGUCAGAGGACUCUCCAGGCACUUUCUGCCAUCUAAAAUCUGUGGGACUUCAGGUCAAGUUUUCAACCUCUCUGGAUGGGCCAGUCAGCAAAGGCAAUUCCUGGCAUGUCCCUGUAUGCUGUUCCUCUUUAGUGAGUGGUGGCCAAACUUACCAAUGCAUCAGAAUGACCUGGGUGAGGCUAACUAAA